UAUGCAAUGAACUUAAAAUUCAUUUAUAAAGAUUAAUCUUUUUUUAGA
Molecule: transfer RNA, 48 nt
Filed under: Greenidea psidii
Lineage: Eukaryota; Metazoa; Arthropoda; Insecta; Hemiptera; Aphididae
Also listed under: 13 other names
Description: partial tRNA-Leu
Source: RNAcentral